RNAcentral lists this transfer RNA (76 nucleotides) under Clostridiales bacterium. RNAcentral describes it as "tRNA-Arg". It matches the Rfam family "tRNA". Rfam says of the family: Transfer RNA (tRNA) molecules are approximately 80 nucleotides in length. The record is from RNAcentral. Lineage: Bacteria; Bacillati; Bacillota; Clostridia; Eubacteriales.
GCACCCGUAGCUCAGGGGAUAGAGCAAUGGCCUUCUAAGCCAUGUGCCGUUGGUUCGAUUCCAACCGGGUGUACCA